RNAcentral lists this long non-coding RNA (296 nucleotides) under Brassica rapa (field mustard). Its description in RNAcentral is "long non-coding RNA (BRAP_LNC000439)". The record is from RNAcentral. Lineage: Eukaryota; Viridiplantae; Streptophyta; Magnoliopsida; Brassicales; Brassicaceae.
AUAUAUAGUAAAACACCUAUAUACCAUGGAUAAAAACGGGUCAAAUCCAAGGUAUAUCAACCCCCAAUCAUCUUGUUAGUCGAGCAAUAGACUUGCUCAUUUAGGAUUACUAUUUACUUUAAAACCAAUAAACAACAAAACCUUAGAAUUAAUAAUCAUCUAGAUUUAAUAGAUUCUCUAGCUCCUUGUUGAUUCGAUCACUAAGUACUACAAUUGAACCUCUUAUUUGAGAGAGUAAUACACUUCUUAGGGUAAUUUGAGUGGUAUCACUUAUCAAUUGGUGCGUGAGCUCGGUG